This 449-nucleotide ribosomal RNA is filed under the name uncultured bacterium. RNAcentral describes it as "partial 16S ribosomal RNA". It matches the Rfam family "Bacterial small subunit ribosomal RNA", at positions 29 to 523 of the family's 1533-position model. The record is from RNAcentral.
AACGAACGCUGGCGGCAGGCCUAACACAUGCAAGUCGAACGCCCUAGCAAUAGGGAGUGGCAGACGGGUGAGUAACGCGUGGGAACGUGCCCUUCGGUUCGGAAUAACUCAGGGAAACUUGAGCUAAUACCGGAUACGUGCGAGAGCAGAAAGAUUUAUCGCCGAAGGAUCGGCCCGCGUCCGAUUAGCUAGUUGGUGAGGUAAUGGCUCACCAAGGCGACGAUCGGUAGCUGGUCUGAGAGGAUGAUCAGCCACACUGGGACUGAGACACGGCCCAGACUCCUACGGGAGGAAGCAGUGGGGAAUAUUGGACAAUGGGCGCAAGCCUGAUCCAGCCAUGCCGCGUGAGUGAUGAAGGCCCUAGGGUUGUAAAGCUCUUUCGCCAGGGACGAUAAUGACGGUACCUGGAUAAGAAGCCCCGGCUAACUUCGUGCCAGCAGCCGCAGUAA